CCGCUGAACUUAAGCAUAUCACUAAGCGGAGGAAAAGAAAUUAACUAAGAUUGCCCCAGUAACGGCGAGUGAAGCGGCAAAAGCCCAAGCUGGUAAUCUUCGUCCUUCGGGCGACGAGUUGUAAGCUUGAGGGGGGUGGCUCAAAUUGUGGUGACGAAGAAGUUUCCUAGGAUGGAACGCCAUAGAGGGUGACAGCCCCGUAUGUGUCGUCGCCGCUAAACGAGCCCCUUCUUUAGAGUCGGGUUGUUUUGUAUUGCAGCCCUAAUUGGGAGAUAAACUUCUUCUAAGGCUAAAUAUGUAUGGGAAACCGAUAGCAAACAAGUACUGUGAAGGAAAGAUGAAAAGAACUUUGAAAAGAGAGUCAAAAGACUUGAAAUCGUUGAGAAGGAAGCGGUAGAAAUUUAUUCUUCUGGCUGAAACGAGGGGUUCGACCGAACUAUUUUGUUAGCAAGUACUUAAUCGGCUUGUUGGCUUACUUGGGGAAGUCGGGCCCGGGUUUCUGUCGGAGAGGCAAAAUGGGGUUUCUAGUCUUCAAAAGCUUGGCAGGCCUGAGGAGGUUCGCUUUCUAGCCUGCUUCUGCUCGUUGAUUAGGAGCCUGAGGGUGCUUUGUGCGAUUUUGCUAAAAUGGUUUUUACCGACCCGUCUCGAAACACGGACCAAGGAGUCUAACACAUAUGCGAGUGUGCUGGUGGAGAAACCAACACGCGUAAUGAAGGUAAAAGAUGCCAAGCUCCCUGCAGCAUCGACCGACCAUGAUCCUCUGGUGAAAGGUUCGAGUAAGAGCAUAUGUGCUAGGACCCGAAAGAUGGUGAACUAUGCCUGAGUAGGGUGAAGCCAGGGGAAACUCUGGUGGAAGCUCGCAGCGAUUCUGACGUGCAAAUCGAUCGUCAAACUUGGGUAUAGGGGCGAAAGACUAAUCGAACCAUCUAGUAGCUGGUUCCCUCCGAAGUUUCCCUUAGGAUAGCUGGGACAAUAACGCAGUUUUAUCAGGUAAAGCGAAUGAUUAGAGGUAUCUGGGAUAAUUUGUCCUGGACCUAUUCUCAAACUUUAAAUUGGUAAGAACCCUGGCCUUCCUUAAUUGAGGCAUGGGGGAUCAAUGCUUGUCCCUAGUGGGCCAUUUUUGGUAAGCAGAACUGGCGAUGAGGGUUGCUCCUAACGUUGAGUUAAGGUGCCUAACUGCACGCUCAUCAGAUCCUACAAAGGGUGUUGGUUCAUCUAGACAGCAGGACGGUGGCCAUGAAGUCGACUGUGCUUAAUUCACUUG
Molecule: ribosomal RNA, 1264 nt
Filed under: Thigmokeronopsis rubra
Lineage: Eukaryota; Ciliophora; Spirotrichea; Urostylida; Pseudokeronopsidae
Description: partial 28S ribosomal RNA
Rfam family: Eukaryotic large subunit ribosomal RNA
Source: RNAcentral